This 1699-nucleotide long non-coding RNA is filed under the name Panax ginseng (ginseng). Its description in RNAcentral is "long non-coding RNA (PGIN_LNC011953)". The record is from RNAcentral. Lineage: Eukaryota; Viridiplantae; Streptophyta; Magnoliopsida; Apiales; Araliaceae.
AACAGAUUUCAUCAUGGGCAAUAUAAAGCAUAAGUUGUGCGUAAGUACCUGCCUAACAAUAUGUUAUAAUGAGAGUUACAUGACUAAGGAUAUCACUUAAUCUACUCUCUUGCUCGCUCCUUUUCAAAUACCGAGUUAUUAAAAUACCAUAUCUCAGUAGUACAAGUGCAAUAAACUCUAUAAUUCCAAAAUGCAGUCUCUCAUAUCUCAGUAGUUCAUGUACAUAAAAUGACAAAAAUUCAGAAGCAAACUUAAAUAAAAAAACACGUGACAUGGAGCUGCGCAAAGACAUUGGAGCCAUCCUCUUUGUAGGAACUACAACUUGUAAUUUCAUUACAACACAACUACAACUACAACUACAACUACAUUACAGACAACAAAAACCACAAAAUGAAAAAAAAAGGAAAAUCGAGUACACCACUUUUUUCUUCAGUCUUUCGUUCUUCAAUGUCAUCUCCUCAAUUUGUUUUGGUCUCCCGGGAUCGUCUCCCGGAAUUUGUUUUGGUCCAUGAAACCUUCACAGGCGAAGGAACUCCACAUUUGCAAUUGCGUGAUGAACUCCCUGAUGAAAUUGUGCUCAUGACUGGGGAGAGAGAAUUAAUUAAGGUUAAUACGUUGCCACCAUAAAUGAUGAAAUUAUGAAAUUAUGCAAAAAUUUCAACAUUUGAGUGUUGCAUCACAAGUGAAGCUAUUCAAGCACAUUUUGACCAAAUUUUCAAAAAAUCUAUAUUGACAACUCUGGAAAACAACUCCCUAGAAAGAAGGAAGUCUUCACCUGAUUUAUUCUCAAAAAUUACCUUAGAAAACAAAGCCAUCUGAGAAUAAAAACUUCAAAACAAUAUAACACAAACACUAUUAUGUAAUAGCCAGUAACCAUAACACAAACACUUAACAGGCGUAUAUGAUCCGGAACCAAUUAAAAUAUAGUGUAGAUUCGAAGUUCCAUAACAUGGGAGUAUAUUGUUUCCAAAGUUUUUUGAAAGUGCAAAACCAGACUCUUUUACACUUGAUUUUGAUUUUGAUUCAGAAUACAACAUGUAGCAAACUUUACAUACAUUUGACACAUUCUUAAAUAUUUUAUUGCAGGAUUGGAUAGAUGAGACAAACAAAGGAUUCAAACAUACGCAUACCUGAUUUGGAGAGAGGAGAGAGGAGAGACGCAGAACGCAUAACCUAGGUCUAGGGAUUUGGCUCUUCUUCAAUCGCAAUUCUCAGUUCGUGAAUUUGGGGAGAAGAGCUCGACUACGGCUUACGAUUUGGAGAGAGGAGAGACGCAGAAUGCAGAACGCAGAACCUAGGGCUAGGGAUUUGGCUCUGCUUCGAGGCUUCUCUAAGAUUCGCGAAUUUGGGGAGAAGAGUUCGUGACUACGGCUAGGGAUUUGGAGAGAGGAGAGACGCAUCACCUAGGGCUAGGAUUUGGCUCUGCUUCAAGGGUUCUCUAAGAUUCGCGAAUUUGGGGAGAAGAGUUCGUGAUUUGGAGAGAGGAGACGCAGAACGCAAAAUUGGGUUUUUUAAAAGACACGAUAGGAAGGCUCUUAUAUACUUCUGUUACUUAAGAUUUUAUGUUACUUAAAAGUUCAGCUCUUGAACUUUCCUGUAUAUAUAUAUAUAUAUAAGCUUCAAGAGCAUAAUUCUUAAAUAACAUAAUGCCUUAAAUAGCAUAAUUUCAUCAAAAUGAUGUAGUUUUGAAGGGACGCGG